This 379-nucleotide ribosomal RNA is filed under the name Enterobacter cloacae. Its description in RNAcentral is "bacterial SSU rRNA". It matches the Rfam family "Bacterial small subunit ribosomal RNA", at positions 497 to 876 of the family's 1533-position model. Lineage: Bacteria; Pseudomonadati; Pseudomonadota; Gammaproteobacteria; Enterobacterales; Enterobacteriaceae. The record is from RNAcentral.
CUAACUCUCAGUCAGCAGCCGGGGGAAUACGGAGGGCGCAAGCGUUAAUCGGAAUUUCUGGGCGUAAAGCGCACGCAGGCGGUCUGUCAAGUCGGAUGUGAAAUCCCCGGGCUCACCCUGGGAAAUGCAUUCGAAAGGGGCAGGCUGGAGUCUUGUAGAGGGGGGUAGAAUUCCAGGUGUAGCGGUGAAAUGCGCAGAGAUUUGGAGGAAUACCGGUGGCGAAGGCGGCCCCCUGGACAAAGACUGACGGUCAGGUGCGAAAGCGUGGGGAGCAAACAGGAUUAGAUACCGUGGUAGUCCACGCCGUAAACGAUGUCGAUUAGGAGGUUGUGCCCCGAGGCGUGGCUUCCGGAGCUAACGCGUUAAAUCGACCGCCUGG